Long non-coding RNA from Oreochromis aureus, 4453 nucleotides. The record is from Ensembl. NCBI's taxonomy places the organism in Eukaryota, Metazoa, Chordata, Actinopteri, Cichliformes, Cichlidae.
CAAACAUUCUGAGAAUAAUCUUUGUAAAAUAAUUAUUACAUUAUUAAAACUGGUUGAGUUGUUGAAUCGUUACUGAAAGCUGUCCGGAUAGAGUGAUCAGAAAAGGAUACAGCUGUUGUUUCUCCCCGGACGCGAUAUGUGGCUGCACCGUAACGGUCUCAACAUCUUCAACCUCAAAACCGUGAAAAAACAAACAAAGAAAAACAUGUUUUGCUGGACGAGCAGCAGCGUGGGCUCGGAGCCGCUCGACGGCGUCGCUAACAUGUCUAAGAGCGACAUACUGAGAGGAAUCAUCACUGAGAAACUGAGCACAGCCGCCCGGGAGAUCUUAGCGGUGGUGGAGAGGACGAUAGCUGACUACGAGGAGGAGGUCGCGGGCUUCAGACAGGAGAUCGACCGGCAGAGGAGACUGCUGGAGCUUCUGCAGCCUCGGGUCAAGCUUGAGAGAAGAGAGUUGACACCAGAGCUGCACAGCUGUGACGUAUUGAUGGAAGCCAGUCUCGAGGAGAAUGAGCAUCACACGCAGCAGUCAGACAUUCUCUGUCCAGAUGUGAAGGACACUGUGAACUCAGGUCUCCCGGUGUACGAUAAUGUGGACGAGGAGGGGGUGGAGAUGCCAUUUGUGCAACCAGACACAAGCUCCACACAGCAUGAAGAACAUCUUAAGGAACCAGAUCAUCAAAUACCUAUGCACAUAUCAAUUUGGAAUUCUGCCUCAAAGCCAGAAUUACAGGAAUGCACCACGUGUUGCAGAAGACUUUUUCACUGCCCUCUGUGCCCCACUUUCAGCCCUACUGUCAGGGCAGUGAUUGAGGAGCAUAUAAAUGGACACAUUAAAAAUGCUUUGCCUUUUAAAGAUAAAAUGAUAUGCCGGUGCAGACUGCCAUGUAGGACAACAGGACACUUUCACUGUCCUGUCUGUAACAUGACAAUCAUACGGCGUGGGGAUAUGGCAAGGCAUUUAUUGUCAUGUCAGCAUUCUUCAAUAGCUAGUCAGCCACCACUAUCAGGACUGCUCCCCACUGCACUCUCCAAGGAGCCCCGUCGCCCUCUCAUUGUCUUCUCUCCAGCAUCUAAACCAUUUUCUGAGUCUUCGGUAGAACAUGCUUAUGCUCUACCCUCUGUGCUAAAUAAAGUCCAUGAAAAUGAAAUGCCCUCACUGUGGUCUUAGUCUUCUUUAAAAAAAAAAAAGGCCUCAAGGCUCACAUGAUGAGGAGGCAUUCAAACAGAUCAUUCAAACAGAUCAAUAGAUGUUUGCCUGGCCUGGCAUCUGCAGUAUUUUUGUGUAGAGGGACUUCUUCCUCUUUGUUUUUCAGUUUGCAGAGGACAUGGAGCUCUUUUUAAAUGUGCUGACGAGCAGGGACUAUGGGUCAAUGCGAUGUUUGACAUUUAAUGGAGAGAUGAAGGAACUGGCUGUUUGGGUUUUGUUUUUUGUUUUUUUUAAUGUGUUGUUAGGUUGUUGUUUUGUUUUUGUUUUUUUUCAGUGUACAGAAUUCCAAUUAAAGUUAUUUCAAAAUGUUGUUUACUUGUUUCCAUGUCCAUACUUACAGUAAAACAUUACAGUGUAAAUGUAACAGCAUUGUUUUAUAUUGUUUUAUUGUUUUAUACUUGAAACUUCAAAUUUAAAAGCUUAGAGUUGCUAUUAACAUUAAUGUAUUACCCUGUAAUCAAUAACAUUUUUAUACAUUUUAUGCAUUAAGCCUCUGGGCUUUGUGCUGGCCAUUUGUAGCCACUUCACUUUUAUUUAUUUAUUUAUUACCAUUUUUGCAUCAAAUAUUACAUAGACUGCAGUGAAUUUAUUGAGCUUUGAGGUUCCCAGUCAAACGUAGCUUUGAAGCACGUGCUAAAAGAACUCUUGUACUUUUCAUAACAAGAUACCAUAUGCAAAAUAUUAACACUCAAAAAAAAUCAUAGGACAGUUCAAAGCUGCAGCACAAACAGCAAAAAAUACUGUUUGUAUAUGUGUCGGGGAGUUUAUGCAGGUGCACAAAGGACUACCGCUUUAAGUAAGUCUAACAGCUUCUUUCCAUCUUUUCUUUCUGAAAAGAUGGAAAGAAGAGCAUCACUGCUCUUUUCUACAAUCUCCCGGAUGUCUUGGAAUACAUUGCCUUUGUCCAAUGGAAACCGCUUCACAGUAGUAGCAGUCCUCUAAAACCUACAAAUGAGUAAUGAUCCUGGAAGAAAUGGGGCACACACUAGUGACUAAUAUAAAAUAGAUGAAGUAUACAAGAGAAUAGAACAAGAACACAAAUAGCCAGGGGUAAAAAAAACCCCCAAAAAACAUAUAUAUAUAUAUAUAAAUGCAUGCAACAACUCCACAUCCACAAGAAAAUAACAGAAAUAUAAUGUGUUUUAUUGUAAACUUACAUUUAUGGAUAAUAAAUUUAGCUAAAAGUAUUAACAAAAUAUGGGAUACAUCACAAAAACAACAUUUCUCGUGCGACGUAACUGAAGUCACGUGUUUCCGGUUACUGUGCAGGUCACAGUAUGGUGCUCCACAGUGGCUGCAGACAGGUGCUCCUGGAUUAACCUGUUUAAGACCCUUGUUCACAGGAAGUUAAUGAGUUGAGCAUGCUCAACUCUUUUUUUUUUUUUCUUAAAAAAAAAAAAUUUAAACGUAGGCAUAAUUUUUAAACAUUGUACAAUGUCAAAGGUUUUACUAAACAUAUAGUAAUAUUGUGAAAGAAAGCUAAUGUUAUGAGUAACGAUGGAACGAUCUGAUAUUACGUAUCGGUAUCGGUCCGAUACUGAUCUAAAUUACUGGAUCGGAUAUUGGAGAGAAAUUAAAAAUGUAAUCCGAUCCAUUAAAUAUCACGAAAGCACCUCACAAAACUUGCGACAUGGGGUAACUCAUAGUGGCUGUGGAAUGCGAGACCUCUCGGCAGUCUGGUUGAGCAUUUGGAGCCUCGCUACCAAACCGGCAUUUCAUCUCUGAGAAAGUUAUCCCAUAGAGAAGUAAAGCAAGUGUGUAAGUUCAUCUCUGAAUGUUUGUGAAGCAUUCCAGCGUUAAGCUUAACAACCGAUAUGUGGAGUGACUACCUCUUCUCUCCCCCUCCCUCUCCUGCUGCUACUUCAAUCAUGAAACUGAUCAAUGAUCAGCUGAUCGGCUUUUCUGUCGCGAGUCCGUCUCUCUUCUUUGUUUUUGGCCCACUUCUCAUCAGAAAGAGGAAACCAGCGGCUGAACAACAUCAGCACGUUAAGCUUGAUAAGCUGUUGUUAGAAUUUAUUUAAUAUUACUUUCUACACUAGGAUCCUUUUCUACAUAGCUGACGGCUGGUAACUGUGCAGGGGCGGAUCUAGCAAAGUUUACCCAAGGGGGCCGAUAGGGCAUGAACAGGGAAAAGGGGGCACAAAGACAUACUUUUCUUUCUUAUUCUCAUUUAAAAUGUCUAGCUUUUAAUAAAUAAUUAUCUGAAUCUUACACCCAGAGUUUUAAUGUGAUGUAAAAUGUAUAGAAGUCCAUUACUGUAUAUAGUAACCAUUAAGUUUAAUAUAUACCCUAGUAAGCUAUAGUACUUUUUCCAUUGGGAAGGUACCAUCUGUGCAGUCUGCAAUUCUGUUGAAGAAAGAUGUUGAAUCUAUUUAUUUUAAUUAAUUUUUAAUUUAAUUAUUGUUGAAAAAUAAUUGAUUUCUCUGCAUUGUUUUUUAACAUGUUCAUUAAAUUAAAGUUGAUUGCGUCAUAAGGCGGAGGGUGGGGGUGGUUCCCUAUUUUUUUUUUUUUUUUUUGCUAGGAGUUUGCAACCCUAUUAGUUAGGUUGCUUAAUAUUUCCGCUAAGUACUCUUUAAAAUACCAGAAUAGGGAGGAUGGAGUAGGUUUAAAUUUAUUAGAUUUAUCAGUAUUUCUGAACUAUGAAAUAGUUUUUGCAUACAGAUAUAACAGAAUAGCUUUAGCGUUUGUUUUUUUUAAAAACUUGAGUAUGAACUUAUACAAAGUGCAGCAAGAUAUUAAAAAAAAUUGUUUUAUUGAUUAAAAAACACACUAUAUCAGAUUCAUAUCGGUAUCGGCAGAUAUCCAAAUUUAUGAUAUCGUUAUCGGACAUAAAAAAGUGGUAUCGUGCCAUCUCUAGUUAUGAGAUUCAAAUAUUUUGUAAAAACACGUUACCAAAUGAUUGAUUUGUCCAUUUAUGAUAAGAUAUGAUAAGGUAAACCUUUAUUAGUCCCUCAAGUGGGACAUUUGCAUUGUCAAGAGUUAUGACAACUUGGGACACUUCACUGUGAAAACCAAGGCCGUUAUAACCACUGUCCAAAGGUAUUGUCAAGGUGGAAAUGUCAGAAGUGCAAAGUGUUUCUGUGCCUGAAUGCCCACCAGCAGUGCUUUGUUGCACAUCACCAGAAAUAAAGGACAUCUAACACCUCUAAAUUGCAGUUGCAGUUGGUUCUGUAGCACAACAACUCUCUUGUACUUGUUCUGUCUAGUCUGCUGCUAAGUUACAGAAGUUUAUAACUGAUUUAU